AGGUGAUGAGCUCAAAGCAGAGAGAAAAAAGACCUUCAGUCAAUUUUCACGAUUAAAUCAAGCAAUUCUCUGUAUCUAUAAAAGCUGGAAACAGAUCAACACAUCCUGAUUGACAUCAUAAUAGUUUGCUACAGAAGAAAGAAGACAACAGAUGCCUCCAAAAAAACAAAGAAAGAUGUCUGACUCUCCUGAUGCAAUGCAGAACGAAACGUUCAAUCAAACUGUUGAAAAAUUAAGAACACUGUGUGAAGAAAAUGAAGAGCAAAAAAAGAAGAUCACUGGAGAGUUGCAAAACAUUGAAGAGAAAUAUUCAUUGAAGCUUUCAACUGAAGUGAAGGUAAGCUCAAUAUAAAUACAAGAAAUAGAAGAAGUGAAAAAUAAGCUAGUGGUUAGGUUGAGUCAUCCUCUCUUAUUAAAACAGUACAUACACCCCUCUUCAUGUCAAGGUAUAUAUUAUACGUUUAAAAUCGUUUCUCGGUGCAAAUUUAC
Molecule: long non-coding RNA, 489 nt
Organism: Cyprinus carpio carpio
Lineage: Eukaryota; Metazoa; Chordata; Actinopteri; Cypriniformes; Cyprinidae
Source: Ensembl